CGAGCCCGCACCCUUCACCACCUGCUCCUCGCGCCUGGAGGCUAUGGCCGCGCGGGAAGAUUCCCGCUGCCUCGCCGGCUCCGGGACGUCGACAGCCGCAACUGCUGUUGAAGGCAGCCGGAGGAGAGAAGCGGGAUGUGCUGCUGAUGGUGGCCACCGUCCGCUGGUUGCAGUGGUAUGAUGGCGCAGGCAGCUGAAGGAGCUAGGCGGGAUGUACUGUUGAUGGUCUCCGCCGUCUGCUGAUGCACUGUUAGGACGCCGCAGCCCGCAGGUCAGGCCAAUUCCUUGAGCUGCAGGAAAUUUUUUUGGGGGGAGAAGAAUUGCACAUGGUUUCCACGUUUGGUUGCACAUCACUCCUAUUUGCAUGCUUCUAUUUUAGUGCUGGUCUGAAGCCUGCAAGUGGAUGCUUGGUUUGGUUUGAUUGCGUAGCCUUCUAAUAUGUUUGGCGAA
Lolium rigidum is the source of this 450-nucleotide long non-coding RNA. RefSeq lists it as uncharacterized. The record is from RefSeq and is a predicted model, not a curated record. The transcript has 3 exons. Lineage: Eukaryota; Viridiplantae; Streptophyta; Magnoliopsida; Poales; Poaceae.